RNAcentral lists this small nucleolar RNA (86 nucleotides) under Catagonus wagneri (Chacoan peccary). RNAcentral's name for it is "Small nucleolar RNA SNORD11B (ENSCWAG00000016919.1)". It matches the Rfam family "Small nucleolar RNA SNORD11B". The record is from Rfam by way of RNAcentral. Lineage: Eukaryota; Metazoa; Chordata; Mammalia; Artiodactyla; Tayassuidae.
UGAUGGCAAUGAUGAUUUUUAAAUUUAUAGUUCACCUGAGGAAUAAAUAUGAGGGCGUUCAGUCACUACCUCAUCUGAUGCCAUCU